GUCUAUGGCCAUGCCACGCUGAAUAAGCCUGAUCCCAUUUGAUCUCGGAAGCUAAGCAGGGUUGGGCCUGGUUAGUAUGUGGAUGCGAGACCACCUAGGAGGACCAGGUGCUGUAGGUG
RNAcentral lists this ribosomal RNA (119 nucleotides) under Pteropus alecto (black flying fox). The record is from RNAcentral. Lineage: Eukaryota; Metazoa; Chordata; Mammalia; Chiroptera; Pteropodidae.